UGAACGCUGGCGGCAGGCCUAACACAUGCAAGUCGAGCGCGAACGGUCUUCGGACUUAUUAGAGCGGCGGACGGGUGAGUAAUGCAUAGGAAUCUGCCCAGUAGUGGGGGAUAGCCCGGGGAAACCCGGAUUAAUACCGCAUACGGUCUACGGGAGAAAGCAGGGGAUCUUCGGACCUUGUGCUACUGGAUGAGCCUAUGUCGGAUUAGCUUGUUGGUGAGGUAAUGGCUCACCAAGGCGACGAUCCGUAGCUGGUCUGAGAGGAUGAUCAGCCACACUGGGACUGAGACACGGCCCAGACUCUACGGGAGGCAGCAGUGGGGAAUAUUGCACAAUGGGGGAAACCCUGAUGCAGCCAUGCCGCGUGUGUGAAGAAGGCUUCGGGUYGUAAAGCACUUUCAGUAGGGAGGAAGGCCUGUAAGUUAAUACUUGCAGGAUUGACGUUACCUACAGAAGAAGCACCGGCUAACUCCGUGCCAGCAGCCGCGGUAAUACGGAGGGUGCAAGCGUUAAUCGGAAUUACUGGGCGUAAAGCGCGCGUAGGCGGUUAGUUAAGCUGGAUGUGAAAGCCCUGGGCUCAACCUGGGAACUGCAUUCAGAACUGGCUGGCUAGAGUACGAGAGAGGGUAGUGGAAUUUCCUGUGUAGCGGUGAAAMCGUAGAUAUAGGAAGGAACAUCAGUGGCGAAGCGACUGCCUGCUCGA
Molecule: ribosomal RNA, 703 nt
Filed under: gamma proteobacterium GWS-SE-H254
Lineage: Bacteria; Pseudomonadati; Pseudomonadota; Gammaproteobacteria
Description: bacterial SSU rRNA
Rfam family: Bacterial small subunit ribosomal RNA
Source: RNAcentral